Molecule: ribosomal RNA, 166 nt
Filed under: Tepidibacter formicigenes DSM 15518
Lineage: Bacteria; Bacillati; Bacillota; Clostridia; Peptostreptococcales; Peptostreptococcaceae
Description: 23S rRNA. Bacterial LSU
Rfam family: Bacterial large subunit ribosomal RNA
Source: RNAcentral
AUGGAAUGGAUAAGCGCUGAAAGCAUCUAAGCGCGAAGCCAACCUCAAGAUAAGAUUUCCCACCGUAAGGGUAAGACCCCAGGAAGACUACCUGGUUGAUAGGUCCAAGGUGUAAGCUCAGUAAUGAGUUCAGCUUAUGGAUACUAAUAGGUCGAGGACUUGACCU